Molecule: ribosomal RNA, 253 nt
Filed under: uncultured bacterium
Lineage: Bacteria
Description: partial 16S ribosomal RNA
Rfam family: Bacterial small subunit ribosomal RNA
Source: RNAcentral
UACGUAGGUGGCAAGCGUUGUCCGGAUUUACUGGGCGUAAAGAGCGCGCAGGCGGUCGUUCAAGUCGCGUGUGAAAGCCCCCGGCUCAACUGGGGAGGGUCACGCGAUACUGAUCGACUCGAAGGCAGGAGAGGGAAGUGGAAUUCCCGGUGUAGUGGUGAAAUGCGUAGAUAUCUGGAGGAACACCGGUGGCGAAGGCGGCAUCCUGGACCGAGAUUGACGCUGAUGCGCGAAAGCCAGGGGAGCAAACGGG